CCCGAAGCCAUGAGGAGAAGGUUUGUCGGGGUUGUCAUGAGCUCCACACUCAUCAAGUUUUCCUUGAUUGGGGACACCCAGAUUGGGAAAUUCCGGCAAUUUUCAGCAAAGUUCCUAGGGGACCUUUGCCAUCCUUUCACCCUCUCUGGAAUGCCAGAGAAGACAGAAAUGCUAUAGGAUAGCUUUUGGCAAAAUUUUACAGUUUUGGCAAAGAUGGGACAUUUUCAUGUCAUUUGGUCUGUGUCUGUGCAGAAUGACUGUGUCAUGUUUGUUCUGUGAGCUAGAUUUUGCUACCUAGAAAGAUUUAAAAUAUAACCAGCAAGAAAAAACCCCUAUAUGCUGUAGUGAAAAUGCUAGGAAAAUUUCUUUAAAAGUCUAACUUUUUUCUGUGGACUUCAGCUCUGGCCAAGGUCAGGGCUACACAAAAUAAGUUAGCUAAUUAAAAUUAAACCAUCUUAGCAGAUUCUCAAAAUUUUGAAAGCAAUGAUUAGGAAAUUUGGCAAUUAGUCAUUUUAAGAUUGCAAGAAAAAUUCCUGAAACAUUGGGGAUAAUUCCAGGAAUUUAUCCCAUUCUGAAAGAAAAGACAAGGAAAAACAAACUAGGUAAAUAGCAACUUUUUGCUAACCCUUCCUUGACUCCUAUCUUGUCUGCAGUCAUCCUUCUGCUCCUUUAGGAAAGCAUUCCGAAGGUAUUAAAGGACCCUCUCCAUUCCACUCCCUGGAGUGGUCCUCAGUGUAUCUCAGUUGUGGGGAUUGCUAGCAAGAUCUAUUAAUAUAGCCCAAGUCUUUCUGUUUGCCAGCCCCACUCAAAUUCUAUUUCACCUGCAGAAAUAGGGAAAGCAAAAUCAUGGGGACCCCACACGACCUUGCCCAAACACCUCUCCAACCCAGUUUUAUGGGAGUGGGCAUACAGCCAAUAGUCAGCAUUCCCUGAGUCCUGGCUCCUAAAACUACCAUCAAAGUAGUAUCCUGGCACCAGUCACCCCAGCUUUCAGCAGGUUCUGCCUUUGAUAAUGCUACCAUUCUCUGUCUCAAUUGUGGGUAUAGAUUAGCUAUGUAAUUUAUUGCAAAUUAUUUUAUUUCUGCCCAGUUUUCUGAUUAGUAAAGAGAAAUACUAAUUAUUGUUGUG
This 1128-nucleotide long non-coding RNA is filed under the name Sarcophilus harrisii (Tasmanian devil). RNAcentral describes it as "lncRNA (ENSSHAG00000023863.1)". Lineage: Eukaryota; Metazoa; Chordata; Mammalia; Dasyuromorphia; Dasyuridae. The record is from RNAcentral.